This 462-nucleotide ribosomal RNA is filed under the name uncultured bacterium. RNAcentral describes it as "bacterial SSU rRNA". It matches the Rfam family "Bacterial small subunit ribosomal RNA", at positions 29 to 507 of the family's 1533-position model. The record is from RNAcentral.
AGCGAACGCUGGCGGAAUGCUUAACACAUGCAAGUCGCACGGGGGAUUUCGGUCCUUAGUGGCGGACGGGUGAGUAACGCGUAGGAAUGUGUCCUGGGAUGGGGGAUAACGUUGGGAAACUGACGCUAAUACCGCAUAUGGCCUGAGGGUCAAAGCCGCGAGGCGUCUUGGGAGCAGCCUGCGUCCGAUUAGCUUGUUGGUGAGGUAAAGGCUUACCAAGGCGACGAUCGGUAGCUGGUCUGAGAGGAUGAUCAGCCACACUGGAACUGAGACACGGUCCAGACUCCUACGGGAGGCAGCAGUGGGGAAUAUUGGACAAUGGGCGCAAGCCUGAUCCAGCAAUUCCGCGUGGAGGAUGAAGGCCUUCGGGUCGUAAACUCCUUUUCUGAGGGAAGAACAGCCUGGGGAGGAAAUGCCCUGGGUUUGACGGUACCUCAGGAAUAAGCAACGGCCAACUCCGUG